This 410-nucleotide ribosomal RNA is filed under the name uncultured bacterium. RNAcentral's name for it is "bacterial SSU rRNA". It matches the Rfam family "Bacterial small subunit ribosomal RNA", at positions 370 to 772 of the family's 1533-position model. The record is from RNAcentral.
AAUGGGCGCAAGCCUGAUCCAGCAAUGCCGCGUGUGUGAAGAAGGCCUGCGGGUUGUAAAGCACUUUCAGUGGGGAAGAACGGAUGCGGGCCAAUACCCCGGAUCACUGACGUUACCCACAGAAUAAGCACCGGCUAACUACGUGCCAGCAGCCGCGGUAAUACGUAGGGUGCAAGCGUUAAUCGGAAUUACUGGGCGUAAAGCGUGCGCAGGCGGUGAUGUAAGACAGAGGUGAAAUCCCCGGGCUCAACCUGGGAACUGCCUUUGUGACUGCAUCGCUGGAGUGCGGCAGAGGGGGAUGGAAUUCCGCGUGUAGCAGUGAAAUGCGUAGAUAUGCGGAGGAACACCGAUGGCGAAGGCAAUCCCCUGGGCCUGCACUGACGCUCAUGCACGAAAGCGUGGGGAGCAAA